GUGGAUGUAGCUCAGUCGGUUAGAGCGCCGGAUUGUGGUCCCGGAGGUCGUGAGUUCAAGUCUCAUCUUCCACCCCA
This 77-nucleotide transfer RNA is filed under the name Christensenellaceae bacterium. RNAcentral describes it as "tRNA-His". It matches the Rfam family "tRNA". Rfam says of the family: Transfer RNA (tRNA) molecules are approximately 80 nucleotides in length. Their secondary structure includes four short double-helical elements and three loops (D, anti-codon, and T loops). Further hydrogen bonds mediate the characteristic L-shaped molecular structure. tRNAs have two regions of fundamental functional importance: the anti-codon, which is responsible for specific mRNA codon recognition, and the 3' end, to which the tRNAs corresponding amino acid is attached (by aminoacyl-tRNA synthetases). tRNAs cope with the degeneracy of the genetic code in two manners: having more than one tRNA (with a specific anti-codon) for a particular amino acid; and 'wobble' base-pairing, i.e. permitting non-standard base-pairing at the 3rd anti-codon position. Lineage: Bacteria; Bacillati; Bacillota; Clostridia; Christensenellales; Christensenellaceae. The record is from RNAcentral.